AGAAUUUGCGAUCAAAGUGGUGGGAGCGGCAGACGGGUGAGUAAUACGUUGGAACCUGCCCCAAAGUCAGGGAUAACCAGUAGAAAUAUUGGCUAAUACCGGAUAGUCACGAAAGUGUAAAGCUUUUGCGCUUUGGGAGGGGCCUGCGGUCUAUCAGCUUGUUGGUAAGGUAAUGGCUUACCAAGGCUAUGACGGAUAGCUGGUUUGAGAGAAUGAUCAGCCACAAUGGAACUGAGACACGGUCCAUACUCCUACGGGAGGCAGCAGUGAGGAAUCUUCCGCAAUGGGCGAAAGCCUGACGGAGCAACACCGCGUGAAGGAUGAAGGUCGUAAGAUUGUAAACUUCUUUUCUGAGGGAAGAAUUCUGACGGUACCUCAGGAAUAAGCAUCGGCUAACUACGUGCCAGCAGCCGCGGUAAGACGUAGGAUGCAAGCGUUAUCCGGAAUUAUUGGGCAUAAAGAGUUCGUAGGCGGUUUGUUAAGUUGGAUGUUAAAUUUUUGAGCUCAACUUAAAAAAAGUAUCCAAAACUGGCAAACUGGAGACUGGUAGAGGUAAGUGGAAUUCUGCAUGUAGGGGUAAUAUCCGUAGAUAUGCAGAGGAACACCAAAAGCGAAGGCAGCUUACUGGACCAGUUCUGACGCUCAAGAACGAAAGCGUGGGUAGCGAACGGGAUUAGAUACCCCGGUAGUCCACGCCCUAAACGAUGAACACUAGGUAUUGGAGGUCUCGACCCCUUCAGUGCCGACGCAAAUGCAAUAAGUGUUCCGCCUGGGUAGUACGAGCGCAAGCUUAAAACUCAAAGGAAUAGACGGGGACCCACACAAGCGGUGGAGCAUCUGGUUUAAUUCGACAAUAAGCGAGGAACCUUACCAAGGCUUGACAUCCCGAGAAGAUCGCCGAAAGGUGAUUGUGCCGUUAGGAACUCGGUGACAGGUGCUGCAUGGUUGUCGUCAGCUCGUGCCUUGAGGUGUUCGGUUAAGUCACGUGAAGCGAGCCGCAACCCUCUGUCUCAUAGUUGCAUAUUUCUUGAGAGACUGCCGGUUUCAAAUCGGAGGAAGGUAAGGAUGACGUCAAAUCAGCAUGGCCCUUAUGUCUUGGGCGACACAGGUGCUACAAUGGCCGGUUCAAUGGGCAGCGAAGGAGCAAUCUGGAGCAAAUC
This 1160-nucleotide ribosomal RNA is filed under the name uncultured organism. RNAcentral's name for it is "bacterial SSU rRNA". It matches the Rfam family "Bacterial small subunit ribosomal RNA", at positions 71 to 1273 of the family's 1533-position model. The record is from RNAcentral.